This 1053-nucleotide ribosomal RNA is filed under the name Mycolicibacterium smegmatis. Its description in RNAcentral is "bacterial SSU rRNA". It matches the Rfam family "Bacterial small subunit ribosomal RNA", at positions 70 to 1136 of the family's 1533-position model. The record is from RNAcentral. Lineage: Bacteria; Bacillati; Actinomycetota; Actinomycetes; Mycobacteriales; Mycobacteriaceae.
AAAGGCCCUUUCGGGGGUACUCGAGUGGCGAACGGGUGAGUAACACGUGGGUGAUCUGCCCUGCACUUUGGGAUAAGCCUGGGAAACUGGGUCUAAUACCGGAUAUACCUCGCUGGUCGCAUGGCCUGGUGGGGGAAAGCUUUUGCGGUGUGGGAUGGGCCCGCGGCCUAUCAGCUUGUUGGUGAGGUUAUGGCUUACCAAGGCGACGACGGGUAGCCGGCCUGAGAGGGUGACCGGCCACACUGGGACUGAGAUACGGCCCAGACUCCUACGGGAGGCAGCAGUGGGGAAUAUUGCACAAUGGGCGCAAGCCUGAUGCAGCGACGCCGCGUGGGGGAUGACGGCCUUCGGGUUGUAAACCUCUUUCAGUGCCGACGAAGCGUAAGUGACGGUAUGCGCAGAAGAAGGACCGGCCAACUACGUGCCAGCAGCCGCGGUAAUACGUAGGGUCCGAGCGUUGUCCGGAAUUACUGGGCGUAAAGAGCUCGUAGGUGGUUUGUCGCGUUGUCCGUGAAAACUCACAGCUUAACUGUGGGCGUGCGGGCGAUACGGGCAGACUUGAGUACUGCAGGGGAGACUGGAAUUCCUGGUGUAGCGGUGGAAUGCGCAGAUAUCAGGAGGAACACCGGUGGCGAAGGCGGGUCUCUGGGCAGUAACUGACGCUGAGGAGCGAAAGCGUGGGGAGCGAACAGGAUUAGAUACCCUGGUAGUCCACGCCGUAAACGGUGGGUACUAGGUGUGGGUUUCCUUCCUUGGGAUCCGUGCCGUAGCUAACGCAUUAAGUACCCCGCCUGGGGAGUACGGCCGCAAGGCUAAAACUCAAAGAAAUUGACGGGGGCCCGCACAAGCGGCGGAGCAUGUGGAUUAAUUCGAUGCAACGCGAAGAACCUUACCUGGGUUUGACAUGCACAGGACGCUGGCAGAGAUGUCGGUUCCCUUGUGGCCUGUGUGCAGGUGGUGCAUGGCUGUCGUCAGCUCGUGUCGUGAGAUGUUGGGUUAAGUCCCGCAACGAGCGCACCCUUGUCCUCAUGUUGCCAGCGCGUUAUGGCGGGG